CCUCCUCUUCAUUUGUUUGUCACCUCUCUUCAUCGCAUUCUCCUUGUGUAUGAUCCAUGAGUUUAUCACACUAACGUUUGUUAUGCCAUAGAACACGCACAGGGGCCAUCUCCUGGUCUUUCUUCCACAGCCAUAGUGAGCACACAUCUG
Long non-coding RNA from Thalassophryne amazonica, 150 nucleotides. RefSeq lists it as uncharacterized. The transcript has 3 exons. NCBI's taxonomy places the organism in Eukaryota, Metazoa, Chordata, Actinopteri, Batrachoidiformes, Batrachoididae. The record is from RefSeq and is a predicted model, not a curated record.